Molecule: ribosomal RNA, 788 nt
Filed under: uncultured bacterium
Lineage: Bacteria
Description: bacterial SSU rRNA
Rfam family: Bacterial small subunit ribosomal RNA
Source: RNAcentral
UCGAUUGAGUUUGAUCAUGGCUCAGGACGAACGCUGGCGGCGUGCUUAACACAUGCAAGUGGAGCGACGAACCGGGGCUUGCCCCGGGGCAAAGCCGCGAACGGGUGAGUAACACGUGGGUAACCCACCUUGAUGACCGGGACAACCCGAGGAAACUCGGGCUAAUACCGGAUGUGCUCUUCCCCUCCAAGGGGGAUGAGGAAAGAUAGCUUCGGCCUUCGCAUCAAGACGGGCCCGCGGCCCAUUAGCUUGUUGGUGGGGUAACGGCCUACCAAGGCUUCGAUGGGUAGCUGGUCUGAGAGGACGAUCAGCCACACUGGGACUGAGACACGGCCCAGACUCCUACGGGAGGCAGCAGUGGGGAAUCUUGCACAAUGCGCGAAAGCGUGAUGCAGCAACGCCGCGUGGGGGAAGACGGCCUUCGGGUUGUAAACCCCUUUCAGUUGGGACGAAGCUUCGCCGGUUAAUAGCCGACUGGAGUGACGGUACCUUCAGAAGAAGCCCCGGCUAACUACGUGCCAGCAGCCGCGGUAAUACGUAGGGGGCAAGCGUUGUCCGGAAUCAUUGGGCGUAAAGCGCGUGUAGGCGGUUCGAUAAGUCUGCUGUGAAAGUCCAGGGCUCAACCCUGGGAUGCCGGUGGAUACUGUCGGGCUAGAGUACGGAAGAGGCGAGUGGAAUUCCCCGGUGUAGCGGUGAAAUGCGCAGAUAUCGGGAGGAACACUAAUUGCGAAGGCAGCUCGCUGGGACGUUACUGACGCUGAGACGCGAAAGCGUGGGGAGCAAACAGG